This 301-nucleotide ribosomal RNA is filed under the name uncultured bacterium. RNAcentral's name for it is "partial 16S ribosomal RNA". It matches the Rfam family "Bacterial small subunit ribosomal RNA", at positions 509 to 807 of the family's 1533-position model. The record is from RNAcentral.
CAGCAGCCGCGGUAAUACGUAGGUGGCAUGCGUUGUCCGGAAUUAUUGGGCGUAAAGGGCUCGCAGGCGGUUUCUUAAGUCUGAUGUGAAAGCCCCCGACUCAACCGGGGAGGGUCAUUGGAAACUGGGAAACUUGAGUGCAGAAGAGGAGAGUGGAAUUCCGCGUGUAGCGGUGCAAUGCGUAGAGAUGUGGAGGAACACCAGUGGCGAAGGCGACUCUCUGGUCUGUAACUGACGCUGAGGAGCGAAAGCGUGGGGAGCGAACAGGAUUAGAUACCCGAGUAGUCCCUGUCUCUUAUAC